UACGGGGGGGGCAAGCGUUGUUCGGAAUUACUGGGCGUAAAGGGCUCGUAGGCGGCCAACUAAGUCAGACGUGAAAUCCCUCGGCUUAACCGGGGAACUGCGUCUGAUACUGGAUGGCUUGAGAUUGGGAGAGGGAUGCGGAAUUCCAGGUGUAGCGGUGAAAUGCGUAGAUAUCUGGAGGAACACCGGUGGCGAAGGCGACAGCCUGGACCAACACUGACGCUGAGGAGCGAAAGCCAGGGGAGCAAACGGG
Molecule: ribosomal RNA, 253 nt
Filed under: uncultured bacterium
Lineage: Bacteria
Description: partial 16S ribosomal RNA
Rfam family: Bacterial small subunit ribosomal RNA
Source: RNAcentral